This is a long non-coding RNA of Erinaceus europaeus (western European hedgehog), 472 nucleotides long. RefSeq lists it as uncharacterized. Lineage: Eukaryota; Metazoa; Chordata; Mammalia; Eulipotyphla; Erinaceidae. The transcript has 3 exons. The record is from RefSeq and is a predicted model, not a curated record.
UGGUCACUUCCAUCAGGAAUGUCAUCAUAAGCCCUUUGGGGAACUCUUCAGGACCUCAUUCUCACUACAACUAGCAAAGGAGCAUAUGAUCUUGGUGCCAAAGGCGUCAUUGCAUCACUUUUCCAGCAGAGGGCACUGUUUCUCUAUAGAGGCGACUGUCUUUGCCACCAAAUGGUCAAAUCUGGGAAAAGCCACCAAGUUGCAGAUGCCAACCUGACUUCACUGGAUGGAAGACCUCACCAAUGUGCCCCACCUCUCCAGACUCCCGCUCGACUAGGAAAAGACAGAAAUAGGCUGGGAGUAUGGAUAGACCUACCAAUGUCCAUGUCUAGCAGAGAAACCAUUACAGAAGCCAAACCUUCCACCUUCUGCACCCCAUGAUGAUCCUGGGCCCAUACUCCCAGAGGGAUAAAGAUCAGAAAAACUUCCAGUGGAGGGAAUGGGAUACAGAACUCUGGUGGUGGGAAUUAUG